Molecule: long non-coding RNA, 569 nt
Organism: Trifolium pratense (red clover)
Lineage: Eukaryota; Viridiplantae; Streptophyta; Magnoliopsida; Fabales; Fabaceae
Exons: 3
Source: RefSeq, a predicted model, not a curated record
GCAUUACAGGACACGUCUAGUUGUUUACGUAUGUAAUAGUUGAUGAAUUUUUGUUGCUUUAUUUCUUCUUUGAUCAUCAAUCUUAGUAACCUCUUCCACUUUUAAAUUACCCUUAUGUGACUAGUGGCAGUGUGGCCUUCUGUUUUUACGAUUCCAUGAAUAUUUUUUAGUUUGAGUGGCUUUUGGUUUUCUAUUGAAUGAAGUGAAUGGUGUCCUUAUUGUACGCCUCCUUAUGGUUAUCUAACUAAGACAUAUCUUCACAAUUUGGCAUAACUGCAGUACAUGCAGCAACCAAAACAGAGGGUGAGACUCUUGUCAUGGAAGACAAGACAACUUUUGGAGGUUCGGCUGAUACGUUACAAUCUGGGUUAUUUUAAUGUGUCUAUUUUGUGGUAUGAGAGCAAGGACUUGGGUAGUGUCUAUUAUCAGAUGGUUGAAGGGCAAGAUGGAUCUUGGGUUAGUCUUGUGGAGGAUUGUAUCUGACAUUACUAAGGAUAGGAAGGUCCUUAAGAAGAUCUUAAAGGAAGGAGACGGAUAUGAAAGACCAAAUGAUGGAGCUAUGGUUCUAG